GAAGGAUCCACCCAGAUAGUUGUCGAUAGAUCUGGUAGCUGACGAGCGAUUUCGCUGGGUAACUGGCGGUGUCGAAGCCUCGUGACAAAGGCCGCCAAGGGCAGUUGAGCAAUCCAGCGGGCCGUAACGUGAGUGAAGCCUGAGCAGGCCUCGCAAGUGAUGAUGCAGAUGCCGACCCGCCUGAAUUACGUGGAAGGCCGCGUGGAUGGGUAAGGUAUCGACGUAUGCCCCCAUCCGAUCUGCCGGGGUAGUGGGCCC
Molecule: non-coding RNA, 258 nt
Filed under: Pseudosulfitobacter pseudonitzschiae
Lineage: Bacteria; Pseudomonadati; Pseudomonadota; Alphaproteobacteria; Rhodobacterales; Roseobacteraceae
Source: RNAcentral